Molecule: long non-coding RNA, 673 nt
Filed under: Helianthus annuus (common sunflower)
Lineage: Eukaryota; Viridiplantae; Streptophyta; Magnoliopsida; Asterales; Asteraceae
Description: hypothetical non coding rna
Source: RNAcentral
CAAACCCUAAGUCAAAACACCAGCCGCUCUCCAUCUCACUUUCACUCUCUAAAUCUGAAUACGCUACACUUUGCUCCGAUCUGGCAACUGUUCUUGAAUAUGGCGAAAUCUAGUCGCCGGAAGCUGUGUUUAUGAAAACAACAAACCAAUUUUCUACUCUUUCUUAAGUUCAAAAAUUUUAACAAAAUCUGGUCACCGGAAGCCAAGGGUGGAUUGUGGUUGUUGCGGAUCGGCGGUGUGUGGUGGUAACGGUGUACGGGUGGUUACCGCAGUGGUGUUGACGGCGGAAGAGUAGUUUUUAAAGUGCAGAUCUCAGGUAGCUUUGUACGGUGGUUGUUGAUGUCGUUUGGAAGCGACCAGAAUUGGUGUCUCGUGAAAAGGGGGGGGGGUGAAGAUGCUGCUGUUGGUGGUGUUGGGUUGAUUGUACGGUGGGGUGAAGGUGAACGCUGACGGUGACGGUGAACGGAGGUGAUGACCAGAGACUUGCAGUGUUCAAGACAGUGAUGGGGGUGUUGGCACGGCGGAUAUCGUAGGUUGCCGGAAAAUUUGUGGCGCCGAAUAAAAACUAACCGGAACCCUAAUUUAAUGGCCGGAAGUUUGCCGGAAAUGCAAAGUUUCAAAACAGAAUGUAUAUAUAUUUGAUUCGUUACUAUAUACGCCAACAGAUCUUUCU